Dipodomys ordii (Ord's kangaroo rat) is the source of this 292-nucleotide unclassified non-coding RNA. Its record names the gene 7SK. It matches the Rfam family "7SK RNA". Rfam says of the family: 7SK was discovered as an abundant small nuclear RNA in the mid-70s but a possible function has only recently been suggested. The record is from Ensembl. NCBI's taxonomy places the organism in Eukaryota, Metazoa, Chordata, Mammalia, Rodentia, Heteromyidae.
GGAUGUGAGGGUGAUCUGGCUGCAACAUCUGUCACCCCAUUGGUUACCAGGGUUGAUAUGGUGAUCGGCCCUACCUCCCUCCACAUGCAUCCCUCCUGAAGCUGCAAGUAUGGUUAAAGAGGACAACCUUUCUUGAUAGAGGAAGGGUGGUCUUCAGUCAAGGUAUACACAUAGCUAUGCUUCCCUUCUAGAACUUCCCAACAGCUUCAUUAAUGACUAUAGAAAUGAAUGUGAUGUUCAUGCUGGUUUUAUUUUAUUGUUUGUGUUGGGUCAUGGAGGUUAAACUCAGACC